GAUGAACGCUGGCGGCGUGCCUAAUACAUGCAAGUCGAGCGAAUGGAUUAAGAGCUUGCUCUUAUGAAGUUAGCGGCGGACGGGUGAGUAACACGUGGGUAACCUGCCCAUAAGACUGGGAUAACUCCGGGAAACCGGGGCUAAUACCGGAUAACAUUUUGAACCGCAUGGUUCGAAAUUGAAAGGCGGCUUCGGCUGUCACUUAUGGAUGGGCCCGCGUCGCAUUAGCUAGUUGGUGAGGUAACGGCUCACCAAGGCAACGAUGCGUAGCCGACCGGAGAGGGUGAUCGGCCACACUGGGACUGAGACACGGCCCAGACUCCUACGGGAGGCAGCAGUAGGGAAUCUUCCGCAAUGGACGAAAGUCUGACGGAGCAACGCCGCGUGAGUGAUGAAGGCUUUCGGGUCGUAAAACUCUGUUGUUAGGGAAGAACAAGUGCUAGUUGAAUAAGCUGGCACCUUGACGGUACCUAACUAGAAAGCCACGGCUAACUACGUGCCAGCAGCCGCGGUAA
Molecule: ribosomal RNA, 515 nt
Filed under: uncultured bacterium
Lineage: Bacteria
Description: partial 16S ribosomal RNA
Rfam family: Bacterial small subunit ribosomal RNA
Source: RNAcentral